UGCGUUGUUGGGUAGGGGAGCGUUCUGUAAGCCUGUGAAGGUGGCCUGUGAGGGUUGCUGGAGGUAUCAGAAGUGCGAAUGCUGACAUAAGUAACGAUAAAGCGGGUGAAAAGCCCGCUCGCCGGAAGACCAAGGGUUCCUGUCCAACGUUAAUCGGGGCAGGGUGAGUCGACCCCUAAGGCGAGGCCGAAAGGCGUAGUCGAUGGGAAACGGGUUAAUAUUCCCGUACUUGGUGUUACUGCGAAGGGGGGACGGAGAAGGCUAUGUUGGCCGGGCGACGGUUGUCCCGGUUUAAGCGUGUAGGUGUGUGUUCCAGGUAAAUCCGGUUCACUUUAACACUGAGGCGUGACGACGAGGCACUACGGUGCUGAAGCAACAAAUGCCCUGCUUCCAGGAAAAGCCUCUAAGCAUCAGGUAACAUCAAAUCGUACCCCAAACCGACACAGGUGGUCAGGUAGAGAAUACCAAGGCGCUUGAGAGAACUCGGGUGAAGGAACUAGGCAAAAUGGUGCCGUAACUUCGGGAGAAGGCACGCUGACACGUAGGUGAAGUGAUUUACUCAUGGAGCUGAAGUCAGUCGAAGAUACCAGCUGGCUGCAACUGUUUAUUAAAAACACAGCACUGUGCAAACACGAAAGUGGACGUAUACGGUGUGACGCCUGCCCGGUGCCGGAAGGUUAAUUGAUGGGGUCAGCGCAAGCGAAGCUCCUGAUCGAAGCCCCGGUAAACGGCGGCCGUAACUAUAACGGUCCUAAGGUAGCGAAAUUCCUUGUCGGGUAAGUUCCGACCUGCACGAAUGGCGUAAUGAUGGCCAGGCUGUCUCCACCCGAGACUCAGUGAAAUUGAACUCGCUGUGAAGAUGCAGUGUACCCGCGGCAAGACGGAAAGACCCCGUGAACCUUUACUAUAGCUUGACACUGAACAUUGAGCCUUGAUGUGUAGGAUAGGUGGGAGGCUUUGAAGUGUGGACGCCAGUCUGCAUGGAGCCGACCUUGAAAUACCACCCUUUAAUGUUU
RNAcentral lists this ribosomal RNA (1016 nucleotides) under Salmonella enterica. Its description in RNAcentral is "partial 23S ribosomal RNA". It matches the Rfam family "Bacterial large subunit ribosomal RNA", at positions 1217 to 2215 of the family's 2925-position model. Lineage: Bacteria; Pseudomonadati; Pseudomonadota; Gammaproteobacteria; Enterobacterales; Enterobacteriaceae. The record is from RNAcentral.